This is a long non-coding RNA of Astatotilapia calliptera (eastern happy), 1629 nucleotides long. The record is from Ensembl. Lineage: Eukaryota; Metazoa; Chordata; Actinopteri; Cichliformes; Cichlidae.
ACGAGGGGAGCUGGAAGGCAGCAAAACAACAAGUGACCGUGGCUGCGUGUACGUGCAGACAGCUGCAGUGAAAAGAGUACGGCUAACGUACGGUCUCAGAAGCAGGGAGCAUCGCCGCUUUCCUCCGUCUUUCCCCCCCGUGGCAGACAUCGCUGCAGUGCGCCUGCUGUUAUGGGUUUCCUACUGCGGUGCUAUGGCAACGGGACAUGCCCAGUCAGAGCUCGUGCUCCUGUUUUGGGAUUGUGAGGAAGACAAACACAUUCGGUCUGUUUUACCUGCAAACUGCACAGGUAAGCGGACCAUGAACGUAAUAACCCUGCUAAAGGAAUCAUUACAGAGGAUGUGCGAGGCUUUAACGUGUCAAAGGUUCAAUGCAGAUGACUUAGGCUCCUUCACUCAUUUACUGUUUUUCAAGGUAGAAUAUUACAGGUCCAUAAGAUAUUGUGUGAAGUGGAAAGGAUCCAUGUGUCCCCAACGCUCCAACAGACAGCCUAGGGCCUCCAAGAAGAACACCAAGACAAGCCCCGCUCCAGAGGAAGAAGUCAUCCAGCGUCAGCUGAGAGGGCGGAGGGGGAAAGGCAGUACUGGUGACAGCCUCUGUAUCGCAGGUGAGGGAACAGGGUGCGACAUCCUCGACAUCAUUACCACUCAGGAAGAGAAGCAUGUUGGUGAAGAAGAUGGGGGAAAGGCGGUAGAGAUAGCUCAUAAAGAACUGGACGACUUGGAUGAAGACCGAGUCUCUGUUUGCAGCAGCACAGCGUCUGGUCCCUCUUUUUAUCACUCCACCUACAGAAAAGCGAGGCCUUCCCAGAACCUGUGCUUGGCCUGUCAGAAGCUCUACCAGAAAGCAAAGAAGAUAAAAACACCAAUCAUAAACAAACUGCUGGACAAUGAUCCUAUGUCCCCGACAUGUGACCAGUGGGUCCUUAUCAAAAAGCGGACAUCCCAAAGGUGGCCUGAUGCAAGAGGGAAGCUUUUGAGCCACAUAAAGAAGAUAAAGAAGGCCUGUGAGAAACAAAGUGAGCAGCGUGUGGAAGAAUCUGCCGUCUGUUCAAGGCCGCACACUUUCCUCCACAGGAACCUCAGACGAUGUGUGAAAGCGAAAAAGGAGAGGAAGAAGAAUAAGAACAGGAGGAAGAGACAGAGAGACGGUUCGCAGGGUACUCGUGCCGCUAAGCAGCAGCGUCUCCACACCAACACUCCCAUCAAGAUGACCUGUGUAGAGCCAAACAGCCGCCGAAAAAGCAGCAGUCAGGGGAACAGAGGUGUGACUGCUGAGGCGAUUCCCUCGUCUGUGACACAGGAAGCCACCACACCAAGCAAGAGAACACCAAAGCAGACGGGUAGAUUCAGAAACUUGCUGGCUGAGCUACGGAGCAAGAGCAGCAUGAUUGUAAGAGAAACACACUAGUGAGGAGGCAGGAUUCGAGUGCUAAUCGCUUUUAGUCGUGAUGUUCUGCUGGUCUUCAGUAUUGUUACCUAUUCGGUGGCCUAUGCCUAGAGUUACUUGACAAAGUGCCGUCGCAGUUCUGUGCAUGUUUUGUUUGUGAUCCUUUAAAAUUAAAAAUAAUAUUUAUUUAAUGUUCCUUACAACUGGACAGCUGUGAAUAAAUGUUUAUGUUGAUCUCA